This 253-nucleotide ribosomal RNA is filed under the name uncultured bacterium. RNAcentral's name for it is "partial 16S ribosomal RNA". It matches the Rfam family "Bacterial small subunit ribosomal RNA", at positions 524 to 776 of the family's 1533-position model. The record is from RNAcentral.
UACGUAGGGGGCAAGCGUUGUCCGGAAUCAUUGGGCGUAAAGAGCGUGUAGGCGGCCCGGUAAGUCCGCUGUGAAAGUCCAGGGCUCAACCCUGGGAUGCCGGUGGAUACUGUCGGGCUCGAGUCCGGAAGAGGAGUGUGGAAUUCCUGGUGUAGCGGUGGAAUGCGCAGAUAUCAGGAAGAACACCCGUGGCGAAGGCGGCUCUCUGGGACGGUACUGACGCUGAGACGCGAAAGCGUGGGGAGCGAACAGG